AAGUCGUAACAAGGUUUCCGUAGGUGAACCUGCGGAAGGAUCAUUAACACUUUCUUUCAAUACUAACCUUGUCGCUCCCGCCUUGGCCACCGGCUUGAAAUCUGGUGGUGAGCUUAUUUCGAUAAGCCUCGGAGGGAAAAUAUAUUGAGUCUGAUUGGAUGAAGGUCUGCGGAUCGGGCUUGAAUCUCAUUCGUGGGAUAGGUCUGCAGGCAGCUGCGCCCAGCGCAGUAACUUCACUCUUUCAGAUAUCAGCCCCGACCCGGCUGGCCCUUUUUUUUAACUUGUCAAAUCGUACUGAUUCGGGCUUUUCAGAUUGAGAGGAGCAAUCCUUUCUCUGGAGUCCUUAUGGAGAAAUCCAUUAAAUAACAAAACACAACUCUUAACAGCGGAUAUCUCGGUUCUC
Molecule: unclassified non-coding RNA, 403 nt
Filed under: fungal sp.
Lineage: Eukaryota; Fungi
Description: partial internal transcribed spacer region
Rfam family: Eukaryotic small subunit ribosomal RNA (bases 1-46)
Source: RNAcentral